UUCGCAAUGCCCGAAAGGGUGACGAAGCGACGCCGCGUGUGGGAAGAAGGCCUUCGGGUUGUAAACCACUGUUGGGAGUUAGGAAGUGUGGAGGUGUUAAUAGCGCUUUCACUUGACUAAAGCUCCAGAGGAAGCCACGGCUAACUCUGUGCCAGCAGCCGCGGUAAUACAGAGGCGGCAAGCGUUGUUCGGAAUUAUUGGGCGUAAAGAGCACGUAGGCGGCUCUGCAAGUCAGCUGUGAAAGCCUUCUGCUUAACGGAAGAACGGCAGUUGAAACUACAGGGCUUGAGUGCGGGAGGGGAGAGUGGAACUUCUGGUGGAGCGGUGAAAUGCGUAGAUAUCAGAAGGAACGCCGGCGGCGAAAGCGGCUCUCUGGUCCGUAACUGACGCUGAGUGUGCGAAAGCUAGGGGAGCAAACGGGAUUAGAUACCCCGGUAGUCCUAGCCGUAAACGAUGGGCACUAAGUAGAGGGGUU
Molecule: ribosomal RNA, 475 nt
Filed under: uncultured bacterium
Lineage: Bacteria
Description: bacterial SSU rRNA
Rfam family: Bacterial small subunit ribosomal RNA
Source: RNAcentral